RNAcentral lists this ribosomal RNA (398 nucleotides) under uncultured bacterium. RNAcentral's name for it is "bacterial SSU rRNA". It matches the Rfam family "Bacterial small subunit ribosomal RNA", at positions 358 to 773 of the family's 1533-position model. The record is from RNAcentral.
GGAAUAUUGGACAAUGGGGGCAACCCUGAUCCAGCGACGCCGCGUGGGUGAUGAAGGCCUUCGGGUUGUAAAGCCCUUUCACCGGGGACGAUGAUGACGGUACCCGGAGAAGAAGCACCGGCUACCUCCGUGCCAGCAGCCGCGGUAAGACGGAGGGUGCUAGCGUUGUUCGGAAUUACUGGGCGUAAAGCGCACGUAGGCGGACCGGAAAGUCAGAGGUGAAAUCCCAGGGCUCAACCUUGGAACUGCCUUUGAAACUCCUGGUCUUGAGGUCGAGAGAGGUGAGUGGAAUUCCGAGUGUAGAGGUGAAAUUCGUAGAUAUUCGGAGGAACACCAGUGGCGAAGGCGGCUCACUGGCUCGAUACUGACGCUGAGGUGCGAAAGCGUGGGGAGCAAAC